UUGAGAGUUUGAUCCUGGCUCAGGAUGAACGCUGGCGGCGUGCCUAAGGCAUGCAAGUCGAAUGGUCUGCAAGGACAAUGGCAGACGGGUGAGUAAUACGUAGGAAUCUACCUUUUGGCGGGGAAUAGCUCGGCGAAAGCCGGGGUAAUUCCGCAUAAGUUCGCAAGAAGAAAGGGCAUAACUGCCCACCGAAAGAGGAGCCUGCGUCNNNNNNNNNNNNNNNNNNNNNNNNNNNNNNNNAAGGCGAUGACGGGUAGGGGGUGUGAGAGCACGGUCCCCCACAAGGUCACUGAUACAAGGGGCCUACUUCUACGGAAGGCAGCAACUAGGAAUUUUGCGCAAUGGGCGAAAGCCUGACGCAGCGACGCCGCGUGCGGGAUGAAGGCCUUCGGGUCGUAAACCGCUGUGGAGAGGGAAGAAGAUCUGACGGUACCUCUCUAGAAAGUGCCUGCUAACCACGUGCCAGAAGCCUCGGUGAUACGUGGGGCACAAGCGUUAUCCGGAUUUACUGGGCGUAAAGAGUCUCGUAGGCGGUUUGGUAAGUGAUUGGUGAAAUCCCCUGGCUCAACCAGGGAACUGCCAGUCAUACUAUCAGACUAGAGUUAUUUCGGGGAAGUUGGAAUUCUCGGUGUAGGGGUGAAAUCCGUUGAUAUCGAGAAGAACACCAAGGGCGAAGGCAGACUUCCAGGAAUUUACUGACGCUGAUGAACGAAAGCUAGGGGAGCGAACGGGAUUAGAGACCCCGGUAGUCCUAGCCGUAAACAAUGUCCACUAGUUACUUCCCGUUCAGGGAGGCGACGUAAGCUAACGCGUUAAGUGGACCGCCUGGGGAGUACGGCCGCAAGGCUAAAACUCAAAGGAAUUGGCGGGGAAAUGCACAACCAGGGGAGCAUGUGGUUUAAUUCGAUACGAAGCGUUGAACCUUACCUGGGCUUGACAUCUAUUUGACGACUUUAAGAAAUUAAGGUUUUCCGCAAGGACAAAUAGACAGCUGCUGCAUGGCUGUCGUAAGCUCGUACCGUGAGGCGUCGACUUCAGUGUCGUAACGAGCGCAACCCCUUUUUCGUGUUAAAUAGUCACGAAAGACUGCCUGGCCACAAGUCGGGAGGAAGGAGGGGAUGACGUCAAGUCAGCACGGCGCUUACGCCCAGGGCAACACACAUCCUACAAUGGUGAGGAGCAAUGGGUUGCGAAACCGCAAGGUGGAGCCAAUCCCAAAAACCCUCCCUCAGUUCAGAUUGCGGGCUGAAACUCGCCCGCAUGAAGUUGGACUUGGUAGUAAUCGCGGAUCAUCAGACCGCGGUGAAUACGUUCUCAUUUCUUGCACACACCGCCCGUCACAUGAGGAGAGUCGGCAGCGCCCGAAGU
This 1368-nucleotide ribosomal RNA is filed under the name Candidatus Beckwithbacteria bacterium CG23_combo_of_CG06-09_8_20_14_all_47_9. RNAcentral's name for it is "16S ribosomal RNA". It matches the Rfam family "Bacterial small subunit ribosomal RNA". The record is from RNAcentral. Lineage: Bacteria; Candidatus Beckwithiibacteriota.